AGUUGCAGCGGCCUGGCCACCUCAGGAGCACGCUGUCUCUUCCCGACGUGCAGCCCGGGGCCCGGCCCUGUCCCCGGGUGACUGCUCCCCGGCAGGACUGCACAUCUGUGGCGGCAGGCCCAGCUCAGGGCUCGGGGGAGGUUCGGCCUUGCCUUCAAAGAGCUCCCUCUCCUGCAGGGCGAGCGCAGAGCGGCGGGCGAGACCACACUGCGUGUGCUGAGGGCGCACUGGUCUUAGCGGGAGGGAAGCCUCACGAGCCUGUACACUUGGAGGAGCCCUAAGCGUUAGGAUCUGCUGCGAGGGCUGCCUGGAACGGAGCCCUGGCUGCAACUAGAAUCAACUGGGGAGCUUUUAAAAUAUCAGUGCCUGGCUCUCACCUCCAGAUUGAUGCUAGAUGGUUGUUCUUAAUGGGAAGAGGCCAAAGCAUGUUUAUAUGCUGUAUGGAGAGUGACAAUGGGAUCCAGCAUACACAUGAAGAGAGUAGCCUCUGGCUAAGGAGAACGGAAAUAGAGUAAGUUCGUCAGUGGAAUGGGAGGAAAUUGAGGGAGUUUUGUCUAAAGGAGUCUAUUUUUUCCUUCAGUCAGAUGUUAGGUAGUUGCUGAACAUGGGGGAUGGGUAGGUGAUGGGAUAAAGAAUUGUAGGGAAGUGGUUCACUCUGGAGUAACUGAUGAUGGAAUGCUGGGAAAGCUUAGUGAACAGCUAAGUGGAAGGCCCCACUGGGUGGGAGACCAUAAGGAGUGUACCAGUUUAGAAGGCUGUGAUGUUUUCCGCAGAGCUAAGUGAGUGGGAGUCAGGAGAGCAGAAAUAGGACCAUUUGGGAUCUGCAGGGAAGCGAGAUGGAAGGCCUUGCUUGGGAGAGGGUUCAGUGAAGGCUGAGUAGAUGAAACUAAACCAAGGGUACACUGAUAAACUGGAUAAACUGAAGAGGUCAAGGAACUCAUAGGUUUGAUAAGGAUGAAGGCCAGGUGUAGUGGGGAAAGAAAACCCAGUCCAACAACUAAAAUUCCAUCCAUUUCAUGGAGCCUUCCUGACUAAUGGGAAAUGAGGUGGCAACUUCCCCCAGGUCCCACCCUGUCUGACUCACUCCUCACUCACUGCUCUUCAAAGGGCCCGUCUCCAUCCUCUUUCUCAAGAAGAGAAACCAUGGAUGUUGUUUCUAAAAGUUCAGCCUGAAAACCACUGUCUGUAUGAACUCAAUUCCCAUGAUUUUUUGAGGCUUUAUAUGUUUCAGCACAAAUAUUAAAUGGAGGUAGGAUAGAGAAGCAGAAAUGGCAAUGAGGAAAAAAAUGGAAAAAGGUAUGCCUGCAUGUUCAUGAGUGAGUCAGCAGAAGAGUGGAGGGAAAAGACAAUAAGACACGGGGUAUCAGCUAUGAAUAGGAACUGAAGGUCCAGAUUGAAGGGCAACAGAACUGGCAGGUGGAGAUGGAAGCAGCCUCCUGGGGGCUGUGUCAAGCUUCUCCAUUCUCCAUCCUGUAAAGGACAAAGGACACUUCCUACACAGUACCCACACAGAAGAGCUGAUGGGAGGGUUAGCCUGUGAGGACGAGAGAGUGAAGAUGAGGGCAAAGGGUUUGCCAGUUAAUAAUUCUGCAUGUUUCUUGGGCCCCAGCCAGCUAGCUGGUAUCCUCUUCCAAAGCAGGCUGGGACCUUGGCUGAAGGAACCAGGGCUGGAAAGACAUCGGGCUGGCAGAGGGGAGAGACUGCAUGCAAACAUUCUUUGUAUCUUCUGCAAUUUGAGAGUUGGCCUGGAACCCUGAAAGUCAGGGCCAAUGUCUGAUCCAUCAGUGGGUAACCAGUGCCUACAUACUAUGGGUAUCAUUCACUGUUCAUUGAACUGAACAAAAGAAACUUAGGAACGGGGAAAGGGAUGUGAUAGAACCUGCAGGAAAAGCUCCGGAGAGAAAGGAGAGGCUUUUUGUUAGGGGGCAAACCAGGGGAUGCUAUCAAGAUGGAGGAAAGGGAGUUAGCAAGAUCCAGAAGACACGUGAGAAGGACCAAGAGGGGAAUGAGAAGCUUAUAAUUCUAUUAGUACUUUUUCUGGCAAGGAUGAAGCCAGCUGCAUUCCCUAUGUUCGAAUGUUUCCAUCCUGUCAGGUAAGUUCUAUGAUCACCUCUUAAUAGAUAAAAAAAAAACUGGAAUCAGAGGUUGAAGGCUUUGCUCAAGGUCACAGACCGGGUAAGGUGAAAGCAACACAGGUGUUUCAGGCUGAGGAAAAAGCACAGACAAAGGAAUGGAUAUAGGAAAACACAGGACAGGUAGAGAAUUGCAAGGGAUUCUGUUUGGCUAAAGCAACAGUCCCCAACCUUUUUGGCACCAGGGACCAGUUUCGUUUUGUGGAAGACAAUUUUUCCAAGGAUGGGGGCUUGUGGUGAUGUGGGGGGCAAGGGGCAGGGGGAUGGUUUCAGGAGGAAACUGUUCCACCUCAGAUCAUCAGGCAUUCAUUAGAUUCUCAUAAGGAGUGCACAGCCUAGAUCCCUUGCAUGCACAGUUCACAAUAGGGUUCCCACUCCUAUGAGAAUCUAAUGCUGCUGCUGACCUGUCAGAAGGCGGAGCUCAGGCAUUAAUGCUUGCUGACUUGCCCACCACUCACCUUCUGCUGUGCGGCCUGGUUCCUAACAGGUCACAGACCAGUACUGGUCCAUGGCCCAGGGGUUGGGGACCCUUGGGCUAAAGGAUAUGGCUAACGAAAGGCCUUCAUAUGAUAGAAGGUUAAUGAGUGGCCCCAGAUCAUGAAAUGUUUUGAAUUUUAAAAAAUGAGUUUACUUUAUAUUGGGGUGUCUCUGAAGAUUUUUUUUUUUUUUUUUGCGACAGAGUCUCACUCUGUCGCCCAGGCUGGAGUGCAGUGGUGCGAUCUUGGCUCACUGCAAGCUCCGCCUCCUGGGUUCACACCAUUCUCCUGCCUCAGCCUCCCGAGUAGCUGGGACUACAGGUGCUCGCCACCACACCCGGCUAAUUUUUUGUAUUUUCAGUAGAGACAGGGUUUCACUGUGUUAGCCAGGAUGGUCUCGAUCUCCUGACCUUGUGAUCCGCCCGCCUCGACCUCCCAAAGUGUUGGGAUUACAGGCGUGAGCCACCACGCCCGGCCCGUCUCUGAAGAUUUUAAGUGGCAGGCUGAUAUGAUCCCCACUGUAUUUUAAAAAGACAAACUUGGGGACGGGCAUAGUGGUUCACACUUGUAAUCCCAACAAUUUGGGAGGCCAAGGUGGGUGGAUCAAUUGAGGUCAGGAGUUAGAGACCAGCCUGGACCAACAUGGUGAAACCCAAUCUCUACUAAAAAUACAAAAUUAGGUGGGUGUGGUGGCGUGUGCCUGUAGUCCCAGCUACUUAGAAAGCUGAGGCAGGAGAAUCGCUUGAACCUGGGAGGUGGAGGUUGCAGUGAACCAAGAUCAUACCACUGCACUCCAGCCUGGGCGACAGAGCAAGACUGUCUCAGAAGAAAGAAAGAAAAAAAGACAAACUUGGCAACAGCAAGGUAUAUUAUCAAGAGGAAAGCAGAAGAAGGCAGGGAUAUCAGCUGGGAGCCAGCUCAGAGGUCUGGGUGUGACAUAACAAAGGCCUGACCUAGAAGAAUGGCAGUGAGAAGGAAGAAAAGGGGAUACAACAGAAAGAGGACCCAGAACUGACAGCAGAUGUCCAGAUGGAUAACUCAGGUGGGACAGGAUGAAGAAAAUGAAUGCAGUUUGGGACAUCCUGAGUUUGAGGUGAGAUGGCCCAUUCAACAAGCAAUCUAAAACACAAUACUGUGCAUUCAGGAGAAAGGACAGAGCUUGAGAAAAAAAUCUGAGGAUUCUCUAUACAGAGGUGAAACCACACAAAGUGGACUGGAGUGUGGUAGCUCUAGUUUUGGCUGUAUUCAGAAACUUUCCCAUCCCCUGCUUUCAUUUCCUUUGAGAAAUUCCCUACCCCAUUGGCUCAUUAAUGCUGGUAGUCUCCCCUACUUCCUCCCAGUCCAAGCUCCUAAUGGCACAUAAUCCAAGCAAAACCAGAGCUCUCCCAUGAGAUGAGUUCGAAUAAUGUAGAGUGGAGAAAUGCAGAGACAGAGUCCAGACAACAUUUGAGCCUCUGAGCCCACCUAGAGGCAUCCACAUAACCCAAAUACAGCUGGUUCUCUUUUUUUUUUUUUUUAUUAAGCCAGUUUAAUUGUAAUUUUGAUUAGGCUAGUUUAAUUGUAAUGUCUUGCAAUCAAAACAGUCUACUAGACCAUCACAUAAAAAUGAGAUUGCUCAGGAGAAAGUAAAAGAGACUAACAGUUACCACUUGAGUGUUGACUAUUUGCCUGAAGGGCCUUUUUAAGAAGCUUGGACUUUAUCUGGUAGAAAAUUAAGAGCUACCUAAAGAUUUAAAUUUAACUUUAAAUAUGUUUUGUUGAAGGUGCUCUUUGAAGUUGGUACUAUAAUCCCAUUCUAUAGAGCUGGAAACUGAGGUUCUUGUAAGUGAAGUAACUUUCUAAGGCCACACAAUGGAUAAGUGUUCAAACCAGGAUAUGAACUUGAAAAUAAAUAAACUGCAAUAGAACUAUGGGUGCUAGAAUGGAAGUAUACAGGGCACAGGAGAGGUACAGUUUAAGAAUGGUCAAGUGUACAGGGGAGGAAGUAGUAAAGACUUUACAGGAGUAGGUGACAUGUGAACUGGAAGGAUGAAUUGUUUAUCAGGUGAAUAAGGGGUUUGGAGCAGGAAAGAGAGAGGGUAUUCUGCGUAGGGCAGAGCAUGUAUAAGCCAUGGAGGUAUGAGGCAACACCUGACUCCCAGCUAUUUCCUUAUGGCUACAGCUGAGAGCACUUAUGGCAAAGUGGCAAGAGUCGUAGAGUAUGCCAUGACAAAACAAAGUCUGAAGGACUGGUGGUCAGUGUGGCGGGAAGAGAGGCAAGCAUGGCACCAAAGAGCUCCGGUUUUGAUCUCCAGUGAAUUACACACAGCCACCCACGAAGAACUGAGCCCGACCUAGCAAGCACAGACAAGCGAGGCAAGAAUUCAUCACAACUGCACAGAGAAAGCUAUGUGUGGUGAAGGGCCUCCUUUAGGGACUGACUGUAGAAAAACUAUGGAACUGAGUGGUUAGCUAGUCUAGACAGGGAAGAGAUACAGUUCAGAAGGCAUGAAAAAGAACAUUUCAGGUGAGAGGUCUUAUCAUUUGGCCUCAAGUCAAAAGAACACAAUUUCUUAAUGAAAGAACGUAGGCAACAACUAGGUGGGAGAAAUACAAUUCACAAAACUAGAUUUGAAAUUGACUUAUCAUGUCAGGUAAUCCAAUGUAAAAAUGCUCCAGUACCUACUCCACACAUUACUAGGGAGAUACCAUGGGGGACGAAAUAUGCACAAAAAGCGUCUCCUGAGGCUAAGCUCCUGAGACAUGAGCACAGGGGAGCUGCAGAGGGAAGGAGAGGUUAUGACCUCUUAGAGGAAUUGGUCAAUCGUUUUUUUCAAGCAACAAUCACUGAGAGCAGAGAGUUCCAGAUGUUACCCUAUGAAUAGAUAAUAUGUAUUGUGCUUCUACUGUUGUCAGCAUUAUCCUAAGCACUUUAUAUAUAUUAACCCAUUUAAACCUCACAGCAACCCUAUGAAAUAGCCAUUAUUAUCGACCCCAGGAAUAAGGAGGCAAAGGCAUAGAGAAGUGAACUAACUUGCCCAAGGCCACACAGCUGGUAAGUAGCACAGCUAGGAUUUGAACUGGGGCAGUCUGGCACGAAAACCUGCUUUUUAAAUCAAAAUGUUAUUUUAUACUACUUCUCCAAAGACAAAUCAUAAUAGUAAUAAUAGUAGCACUACCAUUUAUAGUGUUUAUGAUAUGGGCUAGAUGCUAUAGUAUGCCAGGCACACACAUUAUCUUGCCUAAGAUCACUCAGCUCUCAGGUGGAAGAGCUGGAUUCAAAGUUCAGGAUGCUUGAAUCUGGGAGACAAUAAAGUGCACCAGGAGCUAGAAUAAGUUUGUACAAGGUACAAAUGUGGAGCAUAAAAGAGGAGGUAAUUAAUCUUACCUGGUGGGAGUGGUAUUGAGUUGUGGGUUACUGGAAAACUUCACAACUUCACACAGGGGUGACUUUUUUUUUUCUUUUUUUUCUUUUUUUUUUUUGAGACAAGGUCUGGCUCUGUUGCCCAGGCUGGAGUGCGGCGGCACAACCACAGCUUACUGCAGCCUUGACCUCCCAGGCCCAAGCAAUCCUCUCACCUCAGCCUCCCGAAUGGCUGGGACCACAGGUGUGUGCCACCACACUUGGCUAAUUUUUUAGUAGAGACAGGGUCUUCGUGUGCUGUCCAGGCUGGUCUCGAACUCCUGGGCUCAUGCAGUCCUCACGCCUCAGCCUCCCAAAGUACUGGGAUGACAGGCGUGAACCACUGCACCGGCAAGAGUGGGGUGACUUGUGAGCUGAUUUUUGAAAGAUGAUUGGGUAUUCAUCAGACAGAAUGAUAGGGCAGUGUUCCAUGCAGAGGGAACAGUGGGAAUAAAGGAAUGGAGGUUUGAAAGAGCUGUCACAUUCAGGAAACUGCAAGCAAUGUUGAUGGCUUGGGAAUUGAGUGGGUGGCAUGACAAUAAGAAGGAGGCAGGGGGCUGCAUCACACAGAAUCUUACUUGCCUUUCCAGAAAAUCUGAGCUAUUUUUUAAGUUUUUCCAAUGAAGUAAAUGUAAUGGCCAAAAAGAGUAAAUAAAUAUCCCUAGGGAAUCUGGUGGCUUAGUCUGAAGCUGUUCAGACUAGUAGGAAUUCUUUGAAGACUAUUUUUUCUUAAUAAUGCAUGCAUGCUGGCUGGGUGUGGUGGCUCAUGCCUAUAAUCCCAGCAUGUUGGGAGGCUGAGGCAGGAGGAUCACUUGAGCUCAGGAGUUUGAGACCAGCUUGGGCAAUGUGGCAAAAGCAAUCUCUACCAAAAAUUAAAAAAUUAGCCUGGUAUGGUGGCGCACGCCUGUAGUCACAGCCACUUGGGGGCUGAGGUGGGAGGAUCACUUGAGCUGGGAGAUGGAGGUUGCAGUGAGCCAAGAUCGCACCACUGCACUCUAACCUGUAUGACGCAGUGAGACCGUGUCUCAAAAUAAAAUAAUAAUGCAUGCUAAAUGUGUGUUCUCUGUUUUAAAUUACUCUUAAGUAAAAUGAACAUUCCAGGAUGAUUUUACCUUGUAAUUUUCAGUAUGCCUGGCACACCCACCCCUACCAACCCACCCACCAGGUAUGUUGUCCAUAUGCCCCCAUCUCUACCAAAAAUACAAAAAUUAGCCAGGUAUGGUAGCGAGUGUCUGUAGUCCCAGCUACUUGGGAGGCUGAAGUGGGAGGAUCGCUUGAGCCUGAGAGGCGGAGGUUGCAGUGAGCCAAGAUCGCGCCACUGCACUCUAGUCUGGGUAACAGUGAGACAGACCAUGUCUCAAAAUAAUAAAAUAACAAUACAUGUUAAAUGUGUAUUCUGUUUUAAAUUACCCUUAAAAUGAACAUUCCAGGAAGAUUUUAUCUUGUGAUUUUCAGUAUGUCUGGCACACCCACCCUACAUGGGGAGUAAACUAUCAAAAGGCUUUUAAUCAACGGAAUAAUGUGAUCAGAUCUGCAGUUCAGAAAGACCUAUCUGGCAGCCUUUUGGAAGACAAGUUAAAGUGGGCAGGACUGGAGAUAAAGGAUUUUAAUCAGGGGAGUAAUGUGAUCAGAUCUGCAAUUUAGAAAGACCUAUCUGUAGCCUUUUGGAAGAUGAGUUAGAGUGGGCAUGGCUAGAGAUAUGGAGUCUGAACAAUACUUUUAGUAAGAGAGGCCUAGAGCCUAAACUGUAGGACAGGGUGGAUGGACACUGGGGAGACAGAAUUGGUAGGAUUUAGUAUCUGAUUAGGUAUGAGGGGGUUGGGGACCCAGAGGGAGAAUAAUUUAGAAUGGUUUCCAUAUUCCUGGCUUAGAAGAGAAACAGGUGUGUAGGCUAGAAUAACUGGAUUUGGACAUUCAACCAGCUGUGGAUCAUACAGGUAGAGAUAUCCAUCAGGAAUCUGCAGCUCAGCAAAGAGGUCUGAGCUGAAAAUAAAACUCGCUUAAAUUAUGCACAUAAAAGUGGUGGUCACAGAAAGCAGGUAGAAGAAGAAGAAAAGGGGGUUAAGGACAAGUCCUAGAGAAUAACAUUUAAGAAGCAGGAAGAAGUAUAAAAGUCCAAAAGCUGCAGAGAAGGAAUGGCCAGAGAGGAGGAUGAACAAGGAGAGCAUGUGCCAUAGAAGCCAUGGGGGAGAAAGAGACUAAAGGAAAUGGUCAGCAUUAAAUGCUGCAGAUACAUUACUAUGAGGAUUGAAAAAACUCUGGAUUUAGCCAUUAGGUCAACAGUGAUCUCUGAGUUUCUGAGGAGUGGUGGAAGUAGAAGCCCAAACACAGGGGUUGAAAAGUGAAUGGGAGGUAAAAGAAACAGUGAUUCUAAGCACUUUGUUUCAAGAGCAUGGCGCGAGUGAGUCAGUGAGAGGGGAUGUAGGGUUAAGAAGGAUCUUUUAACAUGGAAGAGACACUAAAAUGGCACUAUCUAAGGCCAUGAAAUGUAGCCCAGAGAAACUGGCAAAAAGAAUGAAGGAUAGACUGGGUGUGGUGGCUCACACCUGUAAUCCCAGCACUUUGGGAGGCUGAGGUGGGAGGAUCGCUUGAGCUCAGGAGUUUGAGACCAGCCAGGGCAACAUAGAGACCCUGUCUCCAUUAAAAAUAAUAAUAAUUUAAAAAUUAGCUGGGCAUGGUGGCACAUGCCUGUGGUCCCAGCUACUUGGGAGGCUGAGAGGUGGGAGGAUCACUUGAGCCUAGAGGACCACCUGAGUUGCAGGAUCACAGUGAGAGGUGAUUGUGCC
RNAcentral lists this long non-coding RNA (8776 nucleotides) under Homo sapiens (human). RNAcentral describes it as "non-protein coding lnc-CDC20-2:7". The record is from RNAcentral. Lineage: Eukaryota; Metazoa; Chordata; Mammalia; Primates; Hominidae.